UUUCCUACGGGAGGCAGCAGUGGGGAAUAUUGCACAAUGGGCGCAAGCCUGAUGCAGCGACGCCGCGUGCGGGAUGGAGGCCUUCGGGGUGUAAACCGCUUUUGUUCAAGGGCAAGGCACGGUCUUUGGCCGUGUUGAGGGGAUUGUUCGAAUAAGCACCGGCUAACUACGUGCCAGCAGCCGCGGUAAUAUGUAGGGUGCAAGCGUUAUCCGGAUUUAUUGGGCGUAAAGGGCUCGUAGGCGGUUCGUCGGGUCCGG
RNAcentral lists this ribosomal RNA (258 nucleotides) under uncultured bacterium. RNAcentral describes it as "partial 16S ribosomal RNA". It matches the Rfam family "Bacterial small subunit ribosomal RNA", at positions 335 to 592 of the family's 1533-position model. The record is from RNAcentral.